ACAAAACAGGAAACAUAGCCACAUUGCUUUUUAUUUUUCAACUCAAUCCUCUCAGCACCGCGAACCGACGGCAUCAAAGCGGGAACAAAUUGUGGCUUCUGUGGUAACAAAUUGCACGCGUGGAAGAGGACAAGGGCGUGAUUGACAAAGCCUUUGUACUUUUCCCGUGGGAAUGCGUUCAAAAUGAGGAAUUCUUGUGUGCGAGGAAGAAGAAAGUUAAAAAGCAGAUGGGACCCAGGCUUGGAAUUUCAUCAAUGUUUUCUGCAAACAGUUUAUAUGCAAAAAAAAGGUGGAGGGUUUAUAUCAGCACAAAAAGCCUUUUCAAUUACAGCAGGCAGGCAAGGGGAAGACACGUGCGUCUACGAAAACAACAGAUCCACCAAAUGACAACAGAUCUCGCAAUUGGGCUGAUACCGACCUUGUUUCAAGGUAAAGAAGGCUGCCGAUACCGGCCAUCAGCACUAAAGCUCCUUUCCUGCUGCAGAUAAUGAUGAUGACGACGGUGACUGUGCGGACGCGACGAAAUUGGCUUCAUUCCAUGCCACCUUCCUAUUGGUCGGCUCUCCGUCGGAGACUUUAUCGAGAGGCAGGCGCACUUGUGAGAUAAUUUCUCCACGUUUCUGACACUGCUUGCCGUCUGCGGUGCGACGCUUCCAUUUGUCAUCUUUGCUCCUCUCGCAUGACAAGCACGGCGUCAAAGAAGCCCUACGAUGCGACGCAGCUAUCGCCACAAGAGACAUCAGGAUUUGCUCUUCCGACGGAGGUGACCUGGAAUGACCUGUGCUGCCGAGUGGAAAUAGAGGCUUAAGAUGCAGACAGUGCACAUAGCGUACGGACACCCGUUGCGCCCGGAAACCGCCGCCUGUUUCCAACGAAUCAGCAGAGGAAUUACACGGAUCAGUCAGAUAACAAGGUCAUGCAAACAAGCCGUCCCUCUUCCGCCGCCUCCGCUUGGAUUGCGCGCCCUAGCUAACCGAGCCGCGCUGGCACUCCGUCAUCCCGACGCCAUCUCGCGUCCUCCCGUUGUAACUCUAACUGGUCCGACUAAAGUGCACGGGCGUCCGCGUGCAUCCGUCACCGCCCGCGACCCGCUGAAGUCACCGAGGCCCUCCGCCGCGCCGACCAGCUGAGCUUCGCGGUCACGCGCUCGCGCACGGACCAAAUGCGGAUCCCCACCUGAUGCGCUGCCCGUUCCAGAUGGCGGACAUUUAAAAUAAAUAUGGAUUAGCCUCGCCACCUCACCCGCAGGGGUGACCAAUGGACAGUCUUACGGCCUAAACUGCUGGAAUGAAAAAGGAAAUUUUAUGGGGAUAAGACCCAACAUCAGCCUGUGUCCAACUUUCAGGUGACAUUUCUAAGAUCAAUGUUU
This is a long non-coding RNA of Syngnathoides biaculeatus (alligator pipefish), 1369 nucleotides long. RefSeq lists it as uncharacterized. NCBI's taxonomy places the organism in Eukaryota, Metazoa, Chordata, Actinopteri, Syngnathiformes, Syngnathidae. The transcript is spliced from 2 exons. The record is from RefSeq and is a predicted model, not a curated record.